GAACGAGAAAGUGGAGCAAUCCAUGAGUAAAGUGGCGUACGGGUGAGUAACACGUGGAUCAUCUGCCCUUUAGUGGGGAAUACCGCUGGGAAACCGGCGACAAUACCGCAUAAGCUCGAGAGAGGAAAGCAGCAAUGCGCUGAAGGAGGAGUCCGCGGUCGAUUAGCUAGUUGGUAGGGUAAUGGCCUACCAAGGCUGUGAUCGAUAGCCGGCCUGAGAGGGCACACGGCCACACUGGCACUGAAACACGGGCCAGACUCCUACGGGAGGCAGCAGUGGGGAAUCUUGCACAAUGGGGGAAACCCUGAUGCAGCGACGCCGCGUGAGCGAUGAAGCCCUUCGGGGUGUAAAGCUCUUUCGGCAGGGAAGAUUAUGACGGUACCUGCAGAAGCAGCUGCGGCUAACUACGUGCCAGCAGCCGCGGUAAUACGUAGGCAGCAAGCGUUGUUCGGAGUUACUGGGCGUAAAGGGUGCGUAGGCGGCUCGAUAAGUAUGGUGUGAAAUCUCCCGGCUUAACUGGGAGGGUGCGCUAUAGACUGCCGGGCUGGAGUGUGGGAGAGGAAAGUGGAAUUCCUGGUGUAGCGGUGAAAUGCGUAGAUAUCAGGAGGAACACCGGUGGUGUAAACGGCUUUCUGGACCAUAACUGACGCUGAGGUGCGAAAGCGUGGGGA
Molecule: ribosomal RNA, 671 nt
Filed under: uncultured forest soil bacterium
Lineage: Bacteria
Description: bacterial SSU rRNA
Rfam family: Bacterial small subunit ribosomal RNA
Source: RNAcentral